Molecule: ribosomal RNA, 253 nt
Filed under: uncultured bacterium
Lineage: Bacteria
Description: partial 16S ribosomal RNA
Rfam family: Bacterial small subunit ribosomal RNA
Source: RNAcentral
UACGUAGGGUGCUAGCGUUGUCCGGAUUUAUUGGGCGUAAAGGGCGCGUAGGCGGUCUUUUAAGUCGGGGGUGAAAGCCCAGGGCUCAACCCUGGAAUUGCCUUCGAUACUGGGAGUCUUGAGUUCGGAAGAGGUUGGUGGAACUGCGAGUGUAGAGGUGAAAUUCGUAGAUAUUCGCAAGAACACCGGUGGCGAAGGCGGCCAACUGGUCCGAUACUGACGCUGAGGCGCGAAAGCGUGGGGAGCAAACAGG